Molecule: ribosomal RNA, 250 nt
Filed under: uncultured bacterium
Lineage: Bacteria
Description: partial 16S ribosomal RNA
Rfam family: Bacterial small subunit ribosomal RNA
Source: RNAcentral
CCAAUUAGCUAGAUGGUGAGGUAACGGCUCACCAUGGCGACGAUUGGUAGCCGGACUGAGAGGUUGAACGGCCACAUUGGGACUGAGACACGGCCCAGACUCCUACGGGAGGCAGCAGUGGGGAAUAUUGCACAAUGGAGGAAACUCUGAUGCAGCGACGCCGCGUGAAGGAAGAAGGUCUUCGGAUUGUAAACUUCUGUUGUCAGGGAUGAUAAUGACGGUACCUGACGAGAAAGCCACGGCUAACUAC